GCGCCCUUAGCUCAGUUGGAUAGAGCAACGACCUUCUAAGUCGUGGGCCGCAGGUUCGAAUCCCGCAGGGCGCGCCA
RNAcentral lists this transfer RNA (77 nucleotides) under Escherichia coli. Its description in RNAcentral is "tRNA-Arg". It matches the Rfam family "tRNA". From Rfam's summary of the family: Transfer RNA (tRNA) molecules are approximately 80 nucleotides in length. The record is from RNAcentral. Lineage: Bacteria; Pseudomonadati; Pseudomonadota; Gammaproteobacteria; Enterobacterales; Enterobacteriaceae.